AAAAAAAAUUUAAAUGCUUAUAAUUUCACCAUCCAGAAAUGUUCGCUGUUGAAAUGUGGUAAUUUCCUUGCUGUACUGUUUUCUAUGCAUAUUAACUGUGGCAGAUGGAAUGCUGCAUGUUCAGCAAAUCUUGCUUCCUGUCUCCUCUGACAUAUGCUAGACUACAUUUCCCAGCCUCCCCUGCAGGAUGGGAGGGUCCCAGGGAGACACUCCAAGACCCUAGGGAGCAGCCAAGCCACCAGUUGGAAGAAACCUGGAUUCCCGAGUGACUCAGUGGAGUAAUGAACCCCCUUCCAUCCUCUGCCAACCCACAUUUGAUAGUGUCUUGAGGGAGAAAUAAACUUUUAUUGUGUUAA
Molecule: long non-coding RNA, 356 nt
Organism: Galeopterus variegatus (Sunda flying lemur)
Lineage: Eukaryota; Metazoa; Chordata; Mammalia; Dermoptera; Cynocephalidae
Exons: 2
Source: RefSeq, a predicted model, not a curated record